GAUUGUUUCGUUGGUAACAUACCAGGGUGCAUUUAUUAGAGAUCUUAGCGUUUUCGAUUGGAAGCGUUGGAGUAUUUCAAUGUUGGAAUUACUUGCUGUUCCCCAUAGUUGGAUUCCGUAGGUCCAGACAGAUUUUAUUACGGUCUUAUAGAGCGUAAUUUUGUUCUGCGUGCUUAGGUUGGAGCGACGGACAAUGAGCCAAUAAAAUUUUUUGAGUUUGUCUUUGAGUUGAUUCGAUUUGUCUAUGAUGUGUUGUUUCCAUGUUAACCUCCUGUCCAGAGUCAU
RNAcentral lists this unclassified non-coding RNA (285 nucleotides) under Bombus terrestris (buff-tailed bumblebee). RNAcentral's name for it is "misc RNA ENSBTSG00005035624.1". Lineage: Eukaryota; Metazoa; Arthropoda; Insecta; Hymenoptera; Apidae. The record is from RNAcentral.